UAAUGUCGACUUCUACAGGACUGGGCAUGUCUAAAAGUACCUCGGAGCCUCACCAGUAAGCUGAUGACAGGCAGAUCUUCCACUGUCUGACUUUUCAAUUUCUAGAAACUGACCCAUGAUCUCAGGCCACUGGGCAGCAACAGUAUCUCGAACUUACAGAGCUUCCUAAACAAUAGACUUAAGCCAAGCUCCACAGAGUGUGGCAACCCCACCAUGACACUGAUCCACCCACCGAGCUCUGCCAAGUUACCUUGGAUCCACCAGCUCAUAACAAGCCUCGUGGAACAAACCAACAUUCCACCUGGAAUCCAACCGGUAAUUGCCAUCCUCAAUUUUUGCUGCAUUUUUACAGUGUUGGUGAAGGGGCUGCAUCAGACGACAGGUACUUAAGGUUUUCUGAGGCCUCAUUGUGUCUUUGGAAGUAAGAGACCACUCUUUGGCAAGUGUCCUGGACCACGGGCUGGGUUUUCUGAGGCCUCAUUCUCUUUUGGAACUAAGGGACCACUCUUCAGCAUGUGUCCUGAACCAAGGGCUUCACGUCAGGAAUCUUGGACCACUUCUUGGAGCAGAGAAUUGAGUACCUUCCUCAAGUAAACGUUGACCCUCCACAGGUUUCUGCUAGUAUCAGUGAGGCUCAACAUGACUCAUGAAAGUCUUUCAAGCCUGGUAUUCUCUAAAGAAGUCUUCAUGCCAGUAUUCUCUAUUGUAGCAGAACAACUCUCAUCAAUGUGUUCGCACGUUUCCUCAAUCUGUGCAGCCAGGUUUUCUGCCAGCUUCUCUUCAUGUCUCCAUUAAAGUCGACUUCUACAGCACUGGGCAAGUCUGAAAGUACCUCACAGCCUCACCGGUAUGCUGAUGAUGGGCAGAUCUUCCACAGUCUGUCUUUUCAGUUUCUUGAAACUGACCCGUGAUCUCAGGCCAUUGGGAAGCAGCAGUAUCUCGAACUUACAAAUCUUUCCGAAAUUAGACAUAAGCCAAGCUCCACAGAGGGUGGCAGUCCCUUCAUGACACUGAUCCACCCACAGAGCUCUGUCCAGUUAACUUGGAUCCACCAGCCACAACAAGCCUGGUUGAACACACCAAUAUUCCAUCUGGAAAGCAACCAAUAACUGCCAUCUCCAAUAUUUGCUGCAUCUUUCCAGUGUUGGGGGAGGGGCUGCAUCAGACGAGAGAUUCCUAAGAUAAAAGUGAUUCUCUCCAAUAGCGUCCCAUGGUCCUUUUUUUCCUACCCUCUUUCCUUUAGUUCAGAACUCUAUACACAGUACAAAAUAGGGAAGUGUGUUCAUGUUAAUUUUAUGGUUCCACACAUCUUUAACUUUUCUCACAGUUAAAAGUACAAAAAGACCCCACUAUAGGAAUCUUAUGUUUGUGUAAUAGCCUUUCACCCAGAAUACACAUCCGUCUGUUGCUUUUCGGCUGAAACACCCACAUUCCCAGAAAAUGGAUCCAUUUGAUUCAUGGCGGCUGAAAUUCCUAGAAAUUAAUC
This is a long non-coding RNA of Camelus dromedarius (Arabian camel), 1486 nucleotides long. RefSeq lists it as uncharacterized. The transcript has 4 exons. The record is from RefSeq and is a predicted model, not a curated record. Lineage: Eukaryota; Metazoa; Chordata; Mammalia; Artiodactyla; Camelidae.